This is an RNA transcript of Scylla paramamosain (green mud crab), 2417 nucleotides long. RefSeq lists it as uncharacterized. The record is from RefSeq and is a predicted model, not a curated record. The transcript has 7 exons. Lineage: Eukaryota; Metazoa; Arthropoda; Malacostraca; Decapoda; Portunidae.
AUUUUGGAGUUAUUUUUGUAUGUGUUGCUUGUUGUUUGCACUGCUUACCUGCGUCAUUUGCAUUAUUACCACUAUUUUACCUGUGUUGUUUGCAAUAAUUCACAGUUUGUUUGAUUUGUUGAUCUGCAUAGCGUGUGAACAGAGAACUAGCUGUAGUCAUUGCUUGAUUUGUUGAUCUGCAUAGCGUGUGAACAGAGAACUAGCUGUACAUGACUAAUGUUUACUUGUCUACCUUAUAAAUUCUCCUCUCACUUCUCCUUCCAGCGCUUCCUCCGCCCCCCUGUCAGGUAUGGAGGGGUUGGGGAAAGGACGCCGUGUCUCUGAGGUUCCCUUGACUGGCCAGCUGACGCCCCUUGAUGUCUCCAUGGCCGUGGUGAGGCAGGAGAGGACUGAAGCAGCUUCUUUCUGUACCAAGCACUGCCACGCAGCACCAGAAAGCUAUGAGUAUGUAAGGUGAGCCCAGCGGUAUCACCAUCCCCCGCAUUCAGCCAUACUGCCUUCACAGCAUCGCCUCUGCUCCUCCCUGGUGGAGAGCUUAGGAUACCACAUGGAGGGGUGGUGAAGGAGGUGAAGGAAAUGCAGAAAAUUGCUCUAAUACUGAGCGCUUCUCUGGUCAGACCAUCCUUCACUGAAUAUUUGGACCGAGGCUUCGAGAUACAAGUGGGCCAGGUGACCCCCCAGAACAGCGCCAUCCUACAUACUUGUGGUGUGGCAGCCCUGAUCGUCCCCCUUCCUCCCUCCUCUUCCUCCUCCUCCUCUUCCCCCUCCAGCAUAGAAGAGACGUUUAAUCAGCUGGUGGACAGCGCUUCCUCCGCCCCCCUGUCAGAUAUGGAGGGGUUGGGGAAAGGAUGCCGUGUCCCUGAGUCUGCCCCUGACUGGCCAGCUGACGCCCAUUGAUAUCUCCAUGGCCGUGGUGAGGCAGGAGAGGACUCAAGGAUGGAGAGCUUAGGAUACCACACGGAGGAGGGUGAAGGAGCCUUGGGGAAGCCUGAAGAAGGGGCAGUGAAGGAGGGAGGCCUGGAGGUGAAGGAAAUGCAGAAAAUUCCUCUAAUAGUGAGCGCUUCGCUGGUCAGACCAUCCCUCACUGAAUAUUUUGACCGAGGCUUCGAGAUACGAGAUGAGAAUCCGUUUUUUAGUAGUUUAAGCCAGUUUUAUGUGUUUUUGGGUGUUUGUAGAUUGUUUUUAUCUUGUUUUGAGUAUUUUUUUGGUUUGUGAAAGGAGGGAGAAAGCUUAAAUACAGUAAUAAUACCGCAAAAAAGGCUUAAAUUGAGAGUUUUAAAGUUAUCUUAGCGUAUAUUAAGCUGUUUUAAAUGUUUUAAGUUACCAGAAGAGAGGAAGCUUAAAUUUAAUAUUAGGAUAAGGAAAAAGCUUAUUUCUUGCAUUAGGAAGAAAGGAAAGCUUAAUAUUGCCACCUCAUCCCCCCAGCCCCCAGUGAGCCAGGUGACCCCCUAGAACAACGCCAUCCUGCCUAUUUGUGGUGUGGCAGCCCAGAUCGUCCCCCUCCCUCCCUCAUCCUCCUCCUCCUCUAGCAAAGAAGAGACGUUUAAUCAGCUAGUGGACAGGUUGUUGUUGUUGUUGUUAUUGUUGUUGUGGGGGUGGCGGUGGUAGUAGUGGCGGCGGUGGUUGUUCGUCUCUCUCUCUCUCUCUCUCUCUCUCUCUCUCUCUCUCUCUCUCAGGCGGUGGUGGGGGGGCGGGAGGGCGUAGUCUCGAGGAGGCUGGCAGAGGUUAUGGAAGGGUCCUGGUAUGCUCCCUCUCCCUCACUCCCUCGCUCCCUCCUUGGGCUCUCUCCGGAACAAGUAGCGGCGUGGCUGGAAGUGGGCGGAAGUUUAGCAGGCUUCUCUAAGAUUGGGCUGGAAGUUAGCGGAAGAGGAGACGUGGCACAUGACAAGGCAAUACAGGGCUUACAGAGGGCAGGCGUGACUGGGCCCUGCCUCGCCGCCCUUGUCAACACCCUAGAGAGAAAUACGCUCACCUUGUAGAGAGGAUAUAUUUUCAUUUUCUUUCGUUGUAUAUAUAUUUUUUUUUAUUUAUUAUUAAAAGGAAUAUUUUCUUUUUUCUAUUUUUCGUUCGUUUUAUAAUGGAUUGUUUAAUUUUAUCUAUAUUUGUUUACAUUUUUUAUCAAUUUCUUUCGAUUUUAUAUUCAGUUUAUUUAUUUAUCAUUAUUUCUUAAGAUAAUUUCUUUAUUUUCUUUAUUUUUCGCUCGUUUUCAUAAUGGGAGUGUUCAAUUUUUAUAUAUUUUUCAAUCGUAAUUUAAUAUCUUAGACUUAAUAUCCAAUUUAUUGAUUUAUUAUUACUUCUAAGUGUGUGUAAGUACUUAAAAGUUUAAUUUAAUUAUUUAUUUAUUUAUUUUUAUUUUCCGUCCGUUUUUAUUAUAUUGGAAACUUAUUUCAUAUAUAUUCCAGUUUUGUUUCUUGUUC